AAUCCAUGGUGAGGGCACCUUUUCAAAGAUCCUUAUAUCUCUCCCAUGCAUCACAGAGUGUUUCUAGAUCCAUCUGUACAAAAGAAGAGAUAUCAUUCCUCAAUUU
Non-coding RNA from Gossypium hirsutum (cotton), 106 nucleotides. NCBI's taxonomy places the organism in Eukaryota, Viridiplantae, Streptophyta, Magnoliopsida, Malvales, Malvaceae. The record is from Rfam.